Molecule: long non-coding RNA, 1079 nt
Organism: Lates calcarifer (barramundi perch)
Lineage: Eukaryota; Metazoa; Chordata; Actinopteri; Centropomidae
Exons: 3
Source: RefSeq, a predicted model, not a curated record
AUAGCAGAGCGGGAAGAAGGGAGACACGAGUUAUCACGACUGAGUCGAUGUUGAGUGCCUAGGAGGCUCAGAGUUGUUAUGUUCAUGGUGAACGGCUAAUUUCCUGAUGUAAAGAAUUUUUGUGACCUACCGAGAGAGGAACUGCUGUUGCCUGUCAGCACAAUGGAAUUGCCUGCCUGCGCCCAAUCUGGAGAUCAAGAGAGUGACGAGUAGAGAUUGUCCUCACCAGUCCCACAGAUGACAAGCCUGGACUGUGGCUGUUAUGGGAACAGAUUCCUUUCCAAAACUUCAUUUCUAUUUACCCAUUAGUGUUUGUUUAAUUCCUGCUGGAGGUGGAUCUGAUCCAGCCUGAAGACUGAAAACACCAUCACUGUAUCCUUUCAAAAUUCCUUACUCUGGCACUCAGCUAUGCUUUUUUCAUUUUAAUAUACUUUAUUUAUUCCUCAGUGAUGCCAUUCCCCCUGGUGGGGACUCGUGGUCAGCAUUGUCUGUAUUGGCUGCAUUGUCACUUGGGCAGGUGGAAAAGGAAGAGGAAAUUAUGUUGCAAAAUAACUCACAAAAGUGGGUUUAAUAUUUAAUCUCUAACUGGACGCACAGAUUAAAGUAAUCAUUCACUGACUGUCAGAUCUCUUUGAAAGCAGAUGGGUUGCAUUCAGCAUCAAUUCUUCUCUAUAGAAUGUGACGAGUGAUCUUGUCACACACUAUACUGUAUGUUACACUCAAAUAAAAUAAUCUUGGUUGCAGCCUCUUACAGACAAUACAAGUUCACUUUUAAGGCAAGUCAGAUUGUGUGAUCAGUCAUUCAUCUCAUGCUUUGAAAGUAGAGUAUAAACCAUGUCUCAAAAACUUCCUUUCUUUUAAAAACUUUUCAAAAAAAUGCUUGUCUUUGAUCAUAAGAACCAAAGUUUUUCACAGUGUGAUCCUGGACCACCACUCAGGACUGACGACCAAAGAUGUCAUUAUGUUUUCUUAGUUUCUGGGACAAGAAUUUCUCCUGUGGAGCAGCUCAAGAAUCCAGCCCUCCUAGAAAUUCUCCUAGAAAGCACAUUUACAUACUACUCAUGUUUUGCCACAUUUUU